ACGAAAGAAAGAAAAAAUAGGGAAAGAGGCAGAAAUAUUGUAGAAAUUAGUUUAUAGUGAUUUCUUCUAAAUCUAUAGUAAUUUUGUGGAUGAUUUAUCUUUGUUUAAGUGUUACCAUCAGAGUCAUUGAUUAAGUAAAGUUUUCUAAACUUUAUUAAAUUUUAUCAAAUAGUUAAAUUUUAUCAAAUAUUUUAGAAUUAAGAAGUUUUAUUCCUAAUUCCUCUACCCCAUGUGUCUGUAUGUUUUGGUGACUCACCGGCAAGGUUAAGCUGAUCUGAAACCGAAGAUGCUGCCUACUACUUUUUCUUUUAGCGGUGAUCUACUGUAAAAUCCUCUCGAAACACCCUUGGUUAAGUUUUUUCGAAUCUCUCGAAGACCGUAAAUUGUCCAUUCUCCGGCCAGAAACCGGCGACCGAAAUCUGAAACCCUAUCCAAAAAUUCUUAUUGAUGGCCAGUGAUGCAUGCUCCUCAAAUACGAGACGAAGCAGAGGUGGAGACGACGGACAACAGGAACUCAAAGCUGGAUAUGCAACCUCAUGUUCGCUGCAACCUGGGGAUGUAAAAGAUGGUGUGGCCCCAAAAUGCUUCUGUGGAAAAUAUGCCAUCUGUUACAUGUCGAAGACAAAUAUCCACUCGAAUAGACUAUUUUUUGGAUGCCCAUUAUUAAAGGUGACACAACUACAUUGCAAAUUCUUUGUCUGGGUUGAUGACCACAUUGUAAGGGUUAGAGCAGUGGAGCCAAUAAGGGGAUUGGGUGACGGCAAGCCGAAUGAUGUUAAAGAACAUUCGGGACUGGAUAACUUGAUUGCUCAUGUAGAGGAAAGAAUAGUAAACCUAGAGAAGCUGCUGAACAAAAAGACUAGAGAAGCAGAGUUGAAGAAGAAGAAUA
Molecule: long non-coding RNA, 889 nt
Organism: Arachis stenosperma
Lineage: Eukaryota; Viridiplantae; Streptophyta; Magnoliopsida; Fabales; Fabaceae
Exons: 4
Source: RefSeq, a predicted model, not a curated record